AUUGAACGCUGGCGGCAUGCCUUACACAUGCAAGUCGAACGGCAGCACGGGAGCAAUCCUGGUGGCGAGUGGCGAACGGGUGAGUAAAGUAUCGGAACGUGCCCAGUCGUGGGGGAUAACGUAGCGAAAGUUACGCUAAUACCGCAUACGAUCUAUGGAUGAAAGCGGGGGAUCGCAAGACCUCGCGCGAUUGGAGCGGCCGAUAUCAGAUUAGGUAGUUGGUGGGGUAAAGGCUCACCAAGCCGACGAUCUGUAGCUGGUCUGAGAGGACGACCAGCCACACUGGGACUGCGACACGGCCCAGACUCCUACGGGAGGCAGCAGUGGGGAAUUUUGGACAAUGGGCGAAAGCCUGAUCCAGCCAUGCCGCGUGCAGGAUGAAGGCCUUCGGGUUGUAAACUGCUUUUGUACGGAACGAAAAGGUUUGGGCUAAUAAGCUGAGCUCAUGACGGUACCGUAAGAAUAAGCACCGGCUAACUACGUGCCAGCCGCCGCAGUAA
RNAcentral lists this ribosomal RNA (500 nucleotides) under uncultured bacterium. RNAcentral describes it as "partial 16S ribosomal RNA". It matches the Rfam family "Bacterial small subunit ribosomal RNA", at positions 30 to 523 of the family's 1533-position model. The record is from RNAcentral.